Molossus molossus (Pallas's mastiff bat) is the source of this 413-nucleotide long non-coding RNA. RefSeq lists it as uncharacterized. The transcript is spliced from 5 exons. The record is from RefSeq and is a predicted model, not a curated record. NCBI's taxonomy places the organism in Eukaryota, Metazoa, Chordata, Mammalia, Chiroptera, Molossidae.
GCGCCGGGCUCGCUCCCUCGCUCGCGGGUACAGUAGGUGUACAGCUCGGGGAGAAGACACUGGGGCUGCCGGGAGGCUGAACCUGACUUCUCUUCAUUGUGGGCUCCUAUUGCCUUGGACUCUUCAACAUCUGUUUCUCUCUCUCUUGGUUGACACCUGGUGUAAUUCUCAUACAUCUUAAAGGCAGGAUUUUGUAACUCUGACUUAACUCUUUAACAUCUUCAGAAUGUAACAAAUUUGACUUUGGUGUGGAGACCAGUGAUGUUCACUCCAAAUGAAAUUAAAUGUUGGCCAUUGGCUCAUGGUGGCCAGUCGUUGGAGGACAAAGCUGGUUAAAUUAACUGCAUAAAAUCACAAAAUCAAAGAUGUUUCUCCUUUUUCCCCAUUGACACCCUCCUCCUGUUCCUGUCCUC